GGGUUAAUCUCAGAGCUUGGAGGGCAGAUGGAAAGUGCACUUUGUAUGACUCCCUCCCUCACCACCAAGAAGCCCGGUGGUCACCACAAGGGUGGGGAUGCAGAAGAUGCUAUAUUAAUGGUGAUUUCUAUUGAGAACAAAAAGGGACGUCGGCUUUCAUUUUCUGCUCUUUUCUCUGUGUGAAGGGACUUCUUGCAAUUGCUGUGGCCGUUGCCCCUGACUCCUAAAUUAAAGACUUCUGAAGUAAAUGAACAGUUUAUGAAGUAUGAAUUAAAGAUUAGAGCUAAAUGGCCUGACUCACCGGUGAGCGGAGGGUGAUUCACGGCAGGGGAAUCUCUUCCCAAAUCCGGUAAUGUAGAUUCGCCAGGCAGCACCAGCACUUUGGGAUCCUGUGUCUCUGUUUCUGCUCCCAGCGUGGCACAGAAGCUCAACAAUGAGACAGUGGGACAGGAGUAAAACUACUAAAAGCUGAGGCCAAAGGACCAAGUCCACUGUUAAGCCACUUAGGAGGGACUGAGGCAGGCUGGCUUACAGCAUACUCCUCUCUCUUCCCAUCAGACAACAUGCACCAAGCUUUGGAAAUUGCUUCUCCUACAUUCAACUACAUCAGAAUCAUUCCUGAGUCUUUACUGAAGUCUCCUAAAAAUGCCAACUAAUCCCAGCUGGACGUGGGCUUUUCCAGAUGAAAAGGAAUCAGCACUCCUUUGCCACCAGCAGUGGACUCACCCUCUACAAUAAUUGAAGAUGCAAGCUCCCUCAGAUGAGAAGAAAACAUCCAUUUUCCUCCCCCUCCACUUAGUCCCUGGCAAUAAAGCUGAGUAACCUGAAGGAAAACAUUAUUUGAAGGCAAGAAUUUGUAGCUCUCCCCUCUAUUCCACUCAAUCUGGAUGUUGAUUUAUUCUACAAUUACUGAGAAACUGCUAUGUGUUAGAUGCUACAAAUGGUUUUGAUUAUAUCUGGAUGAAUUUAAAAUAUGAUCCCGUGUCAACAUCCUUCUUGGUCCUCAUCAAUACGAAACA
Long non-coding RNA from Equus caballus (horse), 1019 nucleotides. RefSeq lists it as uncharacterized. NCBI's taxonomy places the organism in Eukaryota, Metazoa, Chordata, Mammalia, Perissodactyla, Equidae. The record is from RefSeq and is a predicted model, not a curated record.